Molecule: long non-coding RNA, 4268 nt
Filed under: Homo sapiens (human)
Lineage: Eukaryota; Metazoa; Chordata; Mammalia; Primates; Hominidae
Description: HSALNT0402339
Source: RNAcentral
GAGGUGGGUGCCUUGGGGGUGGUCCCAACUGGGUGGGGUUGGGGAGCCUGGGGGCACCAUACGGGUAUAAGAAUUCAUUUUGGACACAGUGUGUGUCCCCUUCUGCGGAACCUUUGAGCUCAAUAGCCCAAGGGCAGGCCAGGCUCACCGCCCCUUUGGCUGUUGCCACUCUGGGUCAGUCUCCAGGGGCAAGGACAGGUUGGCAGUGUCCCCCCUCUGCCUGACUCCAGUCUGGGCAUUUCUGGAGCAUCCUGUGCGCCUGGCUCAGCCCAGCAAGCUGACAUUUGAAAGCUCACAGCUGUCCUGUGAGGUGGGUGAUUCCCGUGUCGUUUCAUGGUGAAGAAGCCAAGGCCAGGACAGAAGUGACCUGUCCCCGGGCCACAGCUGGGCAGGGGCGGAGUUGGCAUUUGAACCCAGCUGCGUGCCUCUUGAGUGCUGCUCUGUGGGCCCCGCAGCCUCCUGUCAGCUCCUUCUGGCGCCUGCUCUGUGGGUGUUCCUUUUGUCUAAGGCGCCUGCAGCCCUCAGAGGGUCUGUGGGGUGGGGACAGAGCUCAGCACCCCGCAUCCACCAGCACCAUCUCCGACCUCUGUGCAGGCUUCGUGUUAGAGGUGGCAGCCAGGUCCUGCCAACGGAAGAUGCUGGGCCUUGGAAACAGCCUGCACUGUAGGUGACCCGGCCGGCCGGGCCCAAACUGGCUGCCAAGAAAAGGGAGCGGGAAAGGAAAACAGCUCUCGGCCACAUCGCCUGUGUAACCGAAUCUGUUUUCAAAGCCCCUCGCAACGCGGGCUCCGCAUUCGGCAGGGCAGGCACUCGCCGCCAGAUCCCCGAGGACUGCUCAGGGGGUCUUCUGGGAGGAGCUCAAAGCGAGUUUGUUUUCGGGGAGGAGGUCAUUGCACUCAAGGUCCCCGUGACUGCAGCGUUCUCAAACGUCCUGCCAUGUGCUGGGAUAACCCCACCCACCGCAGGCGUGCCCUCCGUGGGGCAGGGAGGGGAAGCAGGUUUGGGCUGUUAGGGCUGCAAGCCAAGGGGCCUGCAGGGCAUCUUAGUGAGCUGCUUUGGUGUCCCUGCAGUUGGCGACACCCAUUGUCACACCCCCUCGGCACCCUCGGUCUCCCACAUGACAGACUUACCUGGGGAUGCAAACAGGGCUGGUGAUGACCUUGGCCCUGUGCGGUGGGGUGGCCGUUUAUGAUGGGGCCUGCACUCAACUCACUUUCAGGUCUAGAUGCGGGGACCGGGGGAGGUGUCAGCUGGGCUGGGCUGGGCACGACUAGACUGUGGCCCCGUCUGCGGGAGCCCGGCCACCACCUCAGCAACGCCACCUCCUUAGGAUGUGGGGGCGGGAUUUACUCUCGAGACUCUUAGAGCCAGCGGGUGGCUGGAGGCUCAUAGCCUGGCCCAGGCAGCUGGGGGAGGGCUUUGCUGGUGCCUGGGACCCCCCACCCCCUGCAUUCUCGCCUUUGCUUUCUCUUUUGCUCUCGUCUUUAACAACAUCUCUCCACUCCUCCCCUCCCUCCCUCCUCUGGCCUGCCCGCUCCUUCAUUCCUUCUCUGCUCCUAACCCCCGCAUAGAGGAGCCUGGGGAGCCCGCAGCCUCCUGACCCCAUGUUCCUCUUUCUCUCCUGUCUUCCUGGAGACGUCUGCCACUGACAGUCUUGGAGCCCUGUCAAGGGGACCUGUCCUGCGCUGGGCUGUCCACAGAGGAGCAGCGUGGAGGAGCUGGGAGUGCCCAGCCUGCCUGUGGGCUGCAUUGCCGCUUCCUGCCCAGGAGCCCUGCAGCCGUCUGUCCGCCUCUGAGUAGGACAGUGGGGUUUCCUGGCCAGGAGCAGAGUUUGUCACAUUCCAGUUAUGUCUGCCCAAUGUUCAGCUUUUGGGCAAGGGGUGCCGGUGGUUGAAGAGGCCCCUCUGGGCAGGAACCUCUCACCUGGGGCACGGCUGAAACCAAAGAAUUCAAGCUCCAUAAGGAAGAACCUAGAGGCCCCCCACGUCAGCCUGCCCCAGCCUGGAGCUUACCCACCAUGGAAAUGUGUCUGUUGGCCUUACAGAGGAGAAGGCAUUUGGGCAGGGCUUUGAGGUAUGAGUAGGAGUUUGCUGAAUGAAAUGAGAGGAAAGGGUUUUCAGGGCAGAGGGAACAGGUUGGGGUGGUAAGAAGGGUCCUGAGGCCCAUAGAGAGUGACUGCUAUGAGUGAGUGGUUGGAACUGGCGUGACUGAAGAUGGGGAAGGACAUCUGGGGGUCGGGGGUGCCAGAGGAGUUGGGGAUUUAUCUGGAAGAUGGUGGGUGCUAAGGCAAGAAGAACCAAUUCCUUUUUCUUUUUGCCAAAGCAAAGCCCUCCAUAGGAUUUCCUUUUGGACUUUCUUUUUGAAAGAGUAAUGCACACUGACAGUAACCAUUUAGAUAAUACAGUUUCUAAAAGAAAAGCAAUGAUCCUUUGCCUCUCCCACACCCACCUUUUCCCCACAAGCCCCCAGAAGGCUGGGGGUCUGCUCUCCCUCCCUUGACAGCUGCAGGAUGUUUUGUGGUGGGGUGUGAGGGGCUUUGGCCAGUCCCUGGAGAUGGACGUGCUGGUGUGUCCAGUUUCCCCAGCCCACUUAAAUGGGUGCAGUGAGUGGCCUUUAUAAGUUCCCCGAAGGGGGCGUGUGGGGGACAGUUACAGACAUGUCGUUUAACAAAUGCUGCAGAUCCCCUUCCAGAAGUGAAGAACAUCUCAGCCGUGCCCUGGCAGGCCUGGCUCCUCCCCCUCCACACCUGAAGUUUCUGUUUAAAAUGUUUGGCCACUGGAGGGGUGAAGACACUCACCUGUGCCUGAGGCACUUUAUUAUCCUGACUGAGCGCGCCCUGCACCUCUCACUGUCCUGAAGUGGCUCGGCCCUCGGGCUUCAUCUGGGCCUUCUGUACCUGAGCCUGGGCUUGGCCCAGCGUGGCCAGUGGGCUCCGGGCCCCUCCUGCCAGCCUAGCACUUCUGAGACAGAAGCCUGGCGCAGCAGGCAGGCACCUCUGGACUUUGAGCCUGGGCCCUUGACAGCCAGGGAGAGGGCGACCCCCAGCACACACUACCCUAACCUUUAGCAACGUCCCCACUGCAGAUGGGGGUGCUAGCCUUGAAAGUUGGGUGCCCCAAGGGUUGGGGCAGGAGGGCAAGGGGCCGCCCCAGGGAGGUGGUGCAUGACACAGCCUAUAACAGGCAGUGACUCACUGCUCAUCCAGCCAUAAAGUCAGGGUGAUAGGCUCAGUGUCCCAGCCGUGCUCCCUGGAGUCCCUGCCCCAACGUCAUUCCCUUCUCUGCAGCCUGCGCUGGGCAGAGCUCCCUCCCCAGGGGGGCCGCCUGGGCCACUCUGGGACCAUCCACCCAUUCCAGACCCACCCAUUCCAACUCACUUGCUACUGCUGGGGAGACUGAGUGCCAGGGAGGGGGAGCAAGGGUAGAUGGAGAACUAACAGUGUCAGAGUCCACAGGUCAUCUGUCCCCCACUUUACAGUGUGGACUGCGGGAGGGGAUCCCAGUGUGGGCUGCAGAGCUCAGGGCCAGGAUGCUCGGCCUGUCCAGGCUGCGAUCUGGAGGAAGCGGGUACUCUCUGCUUAGCCCAGGGCCUUCCACGCUCCUGGGGGCUGCGGGGACAGAUCCAAGAACAUGGGCCCUGGGGCCAUGGUGUCCGAUUCAACCCACGCUUCCUCCCUGUUGACACCGGGCAACUUGCUGAGCCGCUCCGUGCCUCAGUUUCCUCGUCUGUAAAGUGGGAUUCAUAGUAGCUCCUUCCCGACUGGGCUGUCUGGGGAUUGGUGAGUGAUGCCGUGGGGCAGGAUCAUGAUUUACGGGGUGCCUGUAUGUUCUCCCAGAGACGGGAAGGGCCCUGAGGGGUGACUCCUCACCAGAUAGCGGGGUCUCCCAGGGACUAAGCAGGUGGGAGGGAUGGGCGCUGCCCUACUGUGCAGAGCCUUGGCGGGAUCCCUUGACGCUGUCCCCAGGCUCUGCGGGGCCAGGAAUAGGGCCACUGGGCCUGGGGUCCUUGUAGUUCAAGGGUCACCCUGAACUGCGGGGCUCUAACUAUAGAGACCCUGGGGCAGUGACGCCUGUGCAACCUGCCCGCCUGUCACUCCCUCCCCCAACCCCUCACACUUGCCCUGCCUCCUUGACCUGCCCUGCCCACCCCUCACCCUCACCCUCACGCUGCCCCCUUAUCCCGCCCCUGGCACCUGCCCUGCCCUUCCCCUCCUGUGAUGGUUAAUACUGAGUGUCAACUUGAUUGGACUGAAGGAUGCAAAGUAUCGA